AAAUUGAAGAGUUUGAUCAUGGCUCAGAUUGAACGCUGGCGGCAGGCCUAACACAUGCAAGUCGAACGGUAACAGGAAGCAGCUUGCUGCUUUGCUGACGAGUGGCGGACGGGUGAGUAAUGUCUGGGAAACUGCCUGAUGGAGGGGGGAUAACUACUGGAAACGGUGGCUAAUACCGCAUAACGUCGCAAGACCAAAGAGGGGGACCUUCGGGCCUCUUGCCAUCAGAUGUGCCCAGAUGGGAUUAGCUUGUUGGUGAGGUAACGGCUCACCAAGGCGACGAUCCCUAGCUGGUCUGAGAGGAUGACCAGCCACACUGGAACUGAGACACGGUCCAGACUCCUACGGGAGGCAGCAGUGGGGAAUAUUGCACAAUGGGCGCAAGCCUGAUGCAGCCAUGCCGCGUGUAUGAAGAAGGCCUUCGGGUUGUAAAGUACUUUCAGCGGGGAGGAAGGUGUUGUGGUUAAUAACCGCAGCAAUUGACGUUACCCGCAGAAGAAGCACCGGCUAACUCCGUGCCAGCAGCCGCGGUAAUACGGAGGGUGCAAGCGUUAAUCGGAAUUACUGGGCGUAAAGCGCACGCAGGCGGUCUGUCAAGUCGGAUGUGAAAUCCCCGGGCUCAACCUGGGAACUGCAUUCGAAACUGGCAGGCUUGAGUCUUGUAGAGGGGGGUAGAAUUCCAGGUGUAGCGGUGAAAUGCGUAGAGAUCUGGAGGAAUACCGGUGGCGAAGGCGGCCCCCUGGACAAAGACUGACGCUCAGGUGCGAAAGCGUGGGGAGCAAACAGGAUUAGAUACCCUGGUAGUCCACGCCGUAAACGAUGUCUACUUGGAGGUUGUGCCCUUGAGGCGUGGCUUCCGGAGCUAACGCGUUAAGUAGACCGCCUGGGGAGUACGGCCGCAAGGUUAAAACUCAAAUGAAUUGACGGGGGCCCGCACAAGCGGUGGAGCAUGUGGUUUAAUUCGAUGCAACGCGAAGAACCUUACCUGGUCUUGACAUCCACAGAAGAAUCCAGAGAUGGAUUUGUGCCUUCGGGAACUGUGAGACAGGUGCUGCAUGGCUGUCGUCAGCUCGUGUUGUGAAAUGUUGGGUUAAGUCCCGCAACGAGCGCAACCCUUAUCCUUUGUUGCCAGCGGUCCGGCCGGGAACUCAAAGGAGACUGCCAGUGAUAAACUGGAGGAAGGUGGGGAUGACGUCAAGUCAUCAUGGCCCUUACGACCAGGGCUACACACGUGCUACAAUGGCGCAUACAAAGAGAAGCGACCUCGCGAGAGCAAGCGGACCUCAUAAAGUGCGUCGUAGUCCGGAUUGGAGUCUGCAACUCGACUCCAUGAAGUCGGAAUCGCUAGUAAUCGUGGAUCAGAAUGCCACGGUGAAUACGUUCCCGGGCCUUGUACACACCGCCCGUCACACCAUGGGAGUGGGUUGCAAAAGAAGUAGGUAGCUUAACCUUCGGGAGGGCGCUUACCACUUUGUGAUUCAUGACUGGGGUGAAGUCGUAACAAGGUAACCGUAGGGGAACCUGCGGUUGGAGCACCUCCUUA
RNAcentral lists this ribosomal RNA (1543 nucleotides) under Salmonella enterica subsp. enterica serovar Infantis. RNAcentral describes it as "bacterial SSU rRNA". It matches the Rfam family "Bacterial small subunit ribosomal RNA". Lineage: Bacteria; Pseudomonadati; Pseudomonadota; Gammaproteobacteria; Enterobacterales; Enterobacteriaceae. The record is from RNAcentral.